RNAcentral lists this ribosomal RNA (459 nucleotides) under uncultured bacterium. RNAcentral's name for it is "partial 16S ribosomal RNA". It matches the Rfam family "Bacterial small subunit ribosomal RNA", at positions 338 to 795 of the family's 1533-position model. The record is from RNAcentral.
CCUACGGGUGGCAGCAGUGAGGAAUAUUGGUCAAUGGGCGGGAGCCUGAACCAGCCAAGCCGCGUGAGGGAAGAAGGUACAGCGUAUCGUAAACCUCUUUUGUCAGGGAACAAAGGCGGGGACUAGUCCCCGGAUGAGGGUACCUGAAGAAAAAGCAUCGGCUAACUCCGUGCCAGCAGCCGCGGUAAUAUGGAGGAUGCGAGCGUUAUCCGGAUUUAUUGGGUGUAAGGGGUGCGUAGGCGGACUGUUAAGUCAGCGGUAAAAGCUCGGGGCUAAACCCUGGAGAGCCGUUGAAACUGGCUGUCUUGAGAAGUCGAGAGGUAUGCGGAAUGCGCAGUGUAGCGGUGAAAUGCUUAGAUAUUGCGCAGAACUCCGAUUGCGAAGGCAGCAUGCCGGCUCCACACUGACGCUGAGGCACGAAAGCGUGGGUAUCGAACAGGAUUAGAUACCCGUGUAGUC